RNAcentral lists this ribosomal RNA (609 nucleotides) under uncultured bacterium. Its description in RNAcentral is "bacterial SSU rRNA". It matches the Rfam family "Bacterial small subunit ribosomal RNA", at positions 104 to 735 of the family's 1533-position model. The record is from RNAcentral.
GGGUGAGUAAUGCAUAGAUAAUGUGCCCCUUAGUUCGGGAUAGCCACUGGAAACGGUGAUUAAUACCGGAUACUCCUUCUUGUUAUAAGACAAGUCGGGAAAGUUUUUCGCUAAGGGAUCAGUCUAUGUUCCAUCAGCUUGUUGGUGAGGUAAUGGCUCACCAAGGCUAUGACGGAUAUCUGGUUUGAGAGGAUGAUCAGACACACUGGAACUGAGACACGGUCCAGACUCCUACGGGAGGCAGCAGUGAGGAAUAUUGCACAAUGGAGGAAACUCUGAUGCAGCAACGCCGCGUGGAGGAUGACGCAUUUCGGUGUGUAAACUCCUUUUAUUAGGGAAGAUAAUGACGGUACCUAAUGAAUAAGCACCGGCUAACUCCGUGCCAGCAGCCGCGGUAAUACGGAGGGUGCAAGCGUUACUCGGAAUCACUGGCGUAAAGGGUGCGUAGGCUGGCUUUUAAGUCAGAUGUGAAAUCCAAUGGCUCAACCAUUGAACUGCAUUUGAAACUGAAAGCCUAGAGUUCAGAAGGGGCAGAUGGAAUUAGUGGUGUAGGGGUAAAAUCCGUAGAUAUCACUAGGAAUAUCAAAAGCGAAGGCGAUCUGCUGGGAU